GUGAAUCAUCAAAUCUUUGAACGCAAAUUGCACUCUCCUCGGAGAGUAUGCCUGUUCGAGGGUCAGCCUAUAAAAAAUCGACAUCGUUGCUGUUUCGCGGUGGCGUUCGUCGGAAAUUGGGUCAUCUUAAAUCUUUUGGUUUUAAGCGACUUAAAAUUUUCUUUUUGGUUCCAUGACCGUUCUUAGGAUUUAUUCUUUAAAACGUUUAGGUUACCG
RNAcentral lists this unclassified non-coding RNA (216 nucleotides) under Glomus sp. RNAcentral describes it as "partial contains 5.8S ribosomal RNA and internal transcribed spacer 2". The stretch from base 1 to 65 matches the Rfam family "5.8S ribosomal RNA", at positions 84 to 154 of the family's 154-position model. The record is from RNAcentral. Lineage: Eukaryota; Fungi; Glomeromycota; Glomeromycetes; Glomerales; Glomeraceae.